This 514-nucleotide ribosomal RNA is filed under the name uncultured bacterium. Its description in RNAcentral is "bacterial SSU rRNA". It matches the Rfam family "Bacterial small subunit ribosomal RNA", at positions 32 to 518 of the family's 1533-position model. The record is from RNAcentral.
AACGCUGGCGGCGUGCCUAAUACAUGCAAGUGGAACGCAUGAUUGAUACCGUAGCUUGCUACACCAUUAAUCAUGAGUCGCGAACGGGUGAGUAACGCGUAGGUAACCUGCCUACUAGCGGGGGAUAACUAUUGGAAACGAUAGCUAAUACCGCAUAAGAGUUUUUUAACACAUGUUAGAAAUUUAAAAGGAGCAAAUGCUUCACUAGUAGAUGGACCUGCGUUGUAUUAGCUAGUUGGUAAGGUAACGGCUUACCAAGGCGACGAUACAUAGCCGACCUGAGAGGGUGAUCGGCCACACUGGGACUGAGACACGGCCCAGACUCCUACGGGAGGCAGCAGUAGGGAAUCUUCGGCAAUGGGGGGAACCCUGACCGAGCAACGCCGCGUGAAGUGAAGAAGGUUUUCGGAUCGUAAAGCUCUGUUGUAAGAGAAGAACGUUGAGUAGAGUGGAAAGUUACUCAAGUGACGGUAUCUUACCAGAAAGGGACGGCUAACUACGUGCCAGCCGCGGC